UGCCGUUUUAAGUAUCGCGCGAUUUUCGUAUUCAGAUACGCAUGCGAGCAAUGCAUGCGCCGCGAACGCGUGUGAUUCAAUGUGAGUGCUUCGAAGGACCACUGAGAGGAGGAGGAGGCUCAGGAGGAGCAUCGGGCGCCGGCGGAGCAACUUUACGAUCAUCAACUAUGCAGAUCAACAGAAUGACAACUCCGCUGCUGCGCAUCAAUCGGUGCCUAAGAUGCCUUAUUACGUCGCAGACGCUGUUAUUAAAAGGAACGCGCCCUCGUAUACAAGUAUAUAUGCGUAUAUAUAUAUUAUAUAUAUAUACGUAUACAU
Linepithema humile (Argentine ant) is the source of this 318-nucleotide non-coding RNA. Lineage: Eukaryota; Metazoa; Arthropoda; Insecta; Hymenoptera; Formicidae. The record is from RefSeq and is a predicted model, not a curated record.